UUUUUAAUUGUUGAUAAACAAAAAAUCUCUCGCUUAACGCUUUAGUAAAAAUACGGAGUUAAAAUUUAAAACAAGCAGUUUUAUGUACUUAUAUAUUUUAAUGUUUAAAAUUGUACCUACACACUGUAGCUAGAAUAAACUAUUUAGUUGUUUAAUAAGAAACUUCAAAGGCACACCAACAACACAGACGCGCCGAUGCUCAUCUAAAAUAUAGCAGAUACGAUGAAGCAAUACAAUGCCAUCAAAAUGCAGCAGAACUACUUCUUGAGGCUAUGAAAUCCACAUCUUCGCCAGUAGCUUUAGAAUCAAUAACCUUGCAGCACAGCUAUCAUCUCAAACAGACAGAAUUUAU
This is a long non-coding RNA of Maniola jurtina (meadow brown), 352 nucleotides long. RefSeq lists it as uncharacterized. Lineage: Eukaryota; Metazoa; Arthropoda; Insecta; Lepidoptera; Nymphalidae. The record is from RefSeq and is a predicted model, not a curated record. The transcript has 2 exons.